UACGGAGGGGGCUAGCGUUGUUCGGAAUUACUGGGCGUAAAGCGCGCGUAGGCGGCUUUGUAAGUUAGAGGUGAAAGCCCGGGGCUCAACUCCGGAAUUGCCUUUAAGACUGCAUCGCUAGAAUCGUGGAGAGGUGAGUGGAAUUCCGAGUGUAGAGGUGAAAUUCGUAGAUAUUCGGAAGAACACCAGUGGCGAAGGCGACUCACUGGACACGUAUUGACGCUGAGGUGCGAAAGCGUGGGGAGCAAACAGG
This 253-nucleotide ribosomal RNA is filed under the name uncultured bacterium. Its description in RNAcentral is "partial 16S ribosomal RNA". It matches the Rfam family "Bacterial small subunit ribosomal RNA", at positions 524 to 776 of the family's 1533-position model. The record is from RNAcentral.